UACGGAGGAUGCGAGCGUUAUCCGGAUUUAUUGGGUUUAAAGGGUCUGUAGGUGGAUAAAUAAGUCAGUGGUGAAAUGCUGUCGCUUAACGAUAGAACUGCCAUUGAAACUGUUUAUCUUGAGUGUUAUUGAAGUAGCUGGAAUAGGUAGUGUAGCGGUGAAAUGCAUAGAUAUUACCUAGAACACCAAUUGCGAAGGCAGGUUACUAAAUAAUUACUGACACUGAGAGACGAAAGCGUGGGUAGCGAACAGG
RNAcentral lists this ribosomal RNA (253 nucleotides) under uncultured bacterium. RNAcentral describes it as "partial 16S ribosomal RNA". It matches the Rfam family "Bacterial small subunit ribosomal RNA", at positions 524 to 776 of the family's 1533-position model. The record is from RNAcentral.